Molecule: ribosomal RNA, 374 nt
Filed under: uncultured eukaryote
Lineage: Eukaryota
Description: partial 18S ribosomal RNA
Rfam family: Eukaryotic small subunit ribosomal RNA
Source: RNAcentral
UAAUAGUGUAUAUUAAAGUUGUUGCAGUUAAAAAGCUCGUAGUUGAAUGUUGGUGUCGAACGAGCGGUCAGCUUCGGCUGUACUGCUCUCUCGACUCCUUCCUUCUGUGGACUACGUCGCACUUUACUGUGUGGCGCUAGGACGCAGAUCGUUUACUGUGAAAAAAUUAGAGUGUUCAAAGCAGGCCGUACGCUUGAAUACAUUAGCAUGGAAUAAUGGAAUAGGACGUCGGGCCUAUUUUGUUGGUUCUAGGACCGUCGUAAUGAUUAAUAGGGACAGUUGGGGCCGUUUAUAUUCCGUAGUCAGAGGUGAAAUUCUUGGAUUUACGGAAGAUAAACUACUGCGAAAGCAUUCGGCAAGGAUGGUUUCGUUAA